CUACACAUGCAGUCGAGCGGACAGAAGGGAGCUUGCUCCCGGAUGUUAGCGGCGGACGGGUGAGUAACACGUGGGUAACCUGCCUGUAAGACUGGGAUAACUCCGGGAAACCGGAGCUAAUACCGGAUAGUUCCUUGAACCGCAUGGUUCAAGGAUGAAAGACGGUUUCGGCUGUCACUUACAGAUGGACCCGCGGCGCAUUAGCUAGUUGGUGAGGUAACGGCUCACCAAGGCGACGAUGCGUAGCCGACCUGAGAGGGUGAUCGGCCACACUGGGACUGAGACACGGCCCAGACUCCUACGGGAGGCAGCAGUAGGGAAUCUUCCGCAAUGGACGAAAGUCUGACGGAGCAACGCCGCGUGAGUGAUGAAGGUUUUCGGAUCGUAAAGCUCUGUUGUUAGGGAAGAACAAGUGCAAGAGUAACUGCUUGCACCUUGACGGUACCUAACCAGAAAGCCACGGCUAACUACGUGCCAGCAGCCGCGGUAAUACGUAGGUGGCAAGCGUUGUCCGGAAUUAUUGGGCGUAAAGGGCUCGCAGGCGGUUUCUUAAGUCUGAUGUGAAAGCCCCCGGCUCAACCGGGGAGGGUCAUUGGAAACUGGGAAACUUGAGUGCAGAAGAGGAGAGUGGAAUUCCACGUGUAGCGGUGAAAUGCGUAGAGAUGUGGAGGAACACCAGUGGCGAAGGCGACUCUCUGGUCUGUAACUGACGCUGAGGAGCGAAAGCGUGGGGAGCGAACAGGAUUAGUAUUUUUGUUU
RNAcentral lists this ribosomal RNA (759 nucleotides) under Bacillus pumilus. RNAcentral describes it as "bacterial SSU rRNA". It matches the Rfam family "Bacterial small subunit ribosomal RNA", at positions 49 to 792 of the family's 1533-position model. Lineage: Bacteria; Bacillati; Bacillota; Bacilli; Caryophanales; Bacillaceae. The record is from RNAcentral.